AUACGGUAGGUAGAGAGAGGGAGAGAGAAGGUAGCAUUGGAAAUAAAGUUUGCAUACAAUGAAUAUUUUAAUCACGUAUUUUUCAAAGCAGAGAAAAGAUUUUGAACGUACUUCAGAUUUUUUUAACAAGGUAAGAUAAUUUAAGUUCAUGUGUUUUUGUUUCCUUAUGCGUUUAUGUCUAAUAAAAAAAUGCAUGAAUUGUCAGUAGACAUUCGUUUUUUUUAAAGAGAUAUGAAAUCUUACGAAAUUAUACGAAGAUCUAAGAUGGAUGUAUCGCUUAGUUACCGAUAUACUUCUUAAGAUCAGAUUGUAUGAAUUGUAAUUUUUAUUGUUAUAUAUAUGUAUAUGAAAACUGCACAUAUCUUACUGUGUGUUUUCGAAUACUCACUCUUACAAUUUUUUAAAGGUUAGUUCGGGUCGAUUGAAAUUGUGGAAGGAUGGUAAUGCAGGUUGCCAAGUGGAUCAAAUGAAAAGAAAAAUAAAUGAGUUUGCCGUCUUUAAAUUUACCAAUUAGUUUAAUUUUGUUCCAAACGUGUUAUUUGAAUUAGUUAAGA
RNAcentral lists this long non-coding RNA (554 nucleotides) under Olea europaea (common olive). Its description in RNAcentral is "long non-coding RNA (OEUR_LNC010924)". Lineage: Eukaryota; Viridiplantae; Streptophyta; Magnoliopsida; Lamiales; Oleaceae. The record is from RNAcentral.